GUGCCUUGAGGUCCAAAACUGUAAUAUUUGUAACGCACCAACUACAGUACUUACGGCAUUGUGACUGUAUUGUUGUCACUAAAGAUGGCCGAUUCACUGAACGGGGCACACACGAAGAACUGAUGGCUGUUGACAAUACAUAUGCACAACUAAUUAAAUCGCAUCAUGCUGGAACAGAAGAUGACAGUAUUGUCUUAUUGGAAUCUAUGCAUGUGCAACUACGUGAACAAUCCAGUAUUCAUUCAGCAGAAAGCAGUGGAAGUGACGUAGAGAAUAAUUUUGAAGGCAAGCUAAUCCAGGAGGAACAAAAAGGCGAAGGAAAGGUCAAAUGGAGUACAUAUAAGCAUUACAUCAACGCUAGUGGUGGUUAUAUCAGUCUUGUAUUAGUCAUACUAUUAUAUGUAUUGUACAUGGGUUGUAUUGUAUUAAGUUUGUUUUGGCUUAAUAUAUGGGUGACAGCGGGC
This is a long non-coding RNA of Saccoglossus kowalevskii, 464 nucleotides long. The record is from RefSeq and is a predicted model, not a curated record. Lineage: Eukaryota; Metazoa; Hemichordata; Enteropneusta; Harrimaniidae.